GCGCCUAACACAUGCAAGUCGCACGAGAAAGGGCUUCGGCCCCGGUACAGUGGCGCACGGGUGAGUAACACGUGGGUAAUGUUCCCUCGGGCGGGGGAUAACCCUCCGAAGGGAAGGCUAAUACCGCAUAAGACCACGGCUUCGAAAGAAGCUGAGGUAAAAGCAGGCCUCUGCAUGCAAGCUUGCACCUGAGGAUCAGCCCGCGGCCCAUCAGCUAGUUGGCAGGGUAAGAGCCUACCAAGGCUAAGACGGGUAGCUGGUCUGAGAGGAUGAUCAGCCACACUGGAACUGAGACACGGUCCAG
Molecule: ribosomal RNA, 304 nt
Filed under: uncultured bacterium
Lineage: Bacteria
Description: bacterial SSU rRNA
Rfam family: Bacterial small subunit ribosomal RNA
Source: RNAcentral